UCCCGAAUAGCUCAGCCGGUUAGAGCAUCUGACUGUUAAUCAGAGGGUCGCUGGUUCGAGCCCAGCUUCGGGAGCCA
RNAcentral lists this transfer RNA (77 nucleotides) under Pedobacter africanus. RNAcentral describes it as "tRNA_Asn_GTT". It matches the Rfam family "tRNA". Rfam says of the family: Transfer RNA (tRNA) molecules are approximately 80 nucleotides in length. Their secondary structure includes four short double-helical elements and three loops (D, anti-codon, and T loops). Further hydrogen bonds mediate the characteristic L-shaped molecular structure. tRNAs have two regions of fundamental functional importance: the anti-codon, which is responsible for specific mRNA codon recognition, and the 3' end, to which the tRNAs corresponding amino acid is attached (by aminoacyl-tRNA synthetases). tRNAs cope with the degeneracy of the genetic code in two manners: having more than one tRNA (with a specific anti-codon) for a particular amino acid; and 'wobble' base-pairing, i.e. permitting non-standard base-pairing at the 3rd anti-codon position. The record is from RNAcentral. Lineage: Bacteria; Pseudomonadati; Bacteroidota; Sphingobacteriia; Sphingobacteriales; Sphingobacteriaceae. RNAcentral also lists the same sequence under 1 other name.